Molecule: ribosomal RNA, 253 nt
Filed under: uncultured bacterium
Lineage: Bacteria
Description: partial 16S ribosomal RNA
Rfam family: Bacterial small subunit ribosomal RNA
Source: RNAcentral
UACGGAGGGUGCAAGCGUUAUCCGGAAUCACUGGGUUUAAAGGGUGCGGAGGCGGCUACAUAAGUCAGAGGUGAAAGCUUGCAGCUUAACUGCGAAAUUGCCUUUGAUACUGUAUAGCUUGAAAGGAGCUGAGGUCAGCAGAAUGUGGCAUGUAGCGGUGAAAUGCAUAGAUAUGCCAUAGAAUACCAAUUGCGAAGGCAGCUGGCUGGGCUUACUUUGACGCUGAGGCACGAAAGCGUGGGGAGCGAACAGG